AUAAUCUGUUAAUGAAGAGAGCUAUCCGUCGACAGUAUUGCCAGUAAACACUGUCAUGGAGUUGCUCUCUUUAUGAACGGAUGC
Molecule: microRNA precursor, 84 nt
Filed under: Galleria mellonella (greater wax moth)
Lineage: Eukaryota; Metazoa; Arthropoda; Insecta; Lepidoptera; Pyralidae
Also listed under: 1 other name
Description: mir-46/mir-47/mir-281 microRNA precursor family
Rfam family: mir-46/mir-47/mir-281 microRNA precursor family
About the family: The hairpin precursors (represented here) are predicted based on base pairing and cross-species conservation -- their extents are not known. In this case the mature sequences are expressed from the 3' arms of the hairpin precursors.
Source: Rfam by way of RNAcentral